GCGGAUAUGGCGGAAUUGGCAGACGCGCAAGAUUCAGGUUCUUGUGAGCACUAGUUCAUGCAGGUUCAAGUCCUGUUGUCCGCACCA
This 87-nucleotide transfer RNA is filed under the name Clostridiales bacterium. Its description in RNAcentral is "tRNA-Leu". It matches the Rfam family "tRNA". Rfam says of the family: Transfer RNA (tRNA) molecules are approximately 80 nucleotides in length. Their secondary structure includes four short double-helical elements and three loops (D, anti-codon, and T loops). Further hydrogen bonds mediate the characteristic L-shaped molecular structure. tRNAs have two regions of fundamental functional importance: the anti-codon, which is responsible for specific mRNA codon recognition, and the 3' end, to which the tRNAs corresponding amino acid is attached (by aminoacyl-tRNA synthetases). tRNAs cope with the degeneracy of the genetic code in two manners: having more than one tRNA (with a specific anti-codon) for a particular amino acid; and 'wobble' base-pairing, i.e. permitting non-standard base-pairing at the 3rd anti-codon position. The record is from RNAcentral. Lineage: Bacteria; Bacillati; Bacillota; Clostridia; Eubacteriales.